Molecule: ribosomal RNA, 1015 nt
Filed under: Lasallia pustulata
Lineage: Eukaryota; Fungi; Ascomycota; Lecanoromycetes; Umbilicariales; Umbilicariaceae
Description: eukaryotic LSU rRNA
Rfam family: Eukaryotic large subunit ribosomal RNA
Source: RNAcentral
GGUUGACCUCGGAUCAGGUAGGAAUACCCGCUGAACUUAAGCAUAUCAAUAAGCGGAGGAAAAGAAACCACAGGGAUUACCCUAGUAACGGCGAGUGAAGCGGUAACAGCUCAAAUUUGAAAUCUGGCCUUCACCGGUCCGAGUUGUAAUUUGUAGAGGAUGUUUCGGGCAAGGCACUGGUUUAAUUUCUUGGAACAGAAUGUCGUAGAGGGUGAGAGUCCCGUCUAGAACCGACCGCCGCGUCCAUGUGAAACUCCUUCGACGAGUCGAGUUGUUUGGGAAUGCAGCUCAAAAUGGGUGGUAAAUUUCAUCUAAAGCUAAAUAUUGGCCAGAGACCGAUAGCGCACAAGUAGAGUGAUCGAAAGAUGAAAAGUACUUUGAAAAGAGAGUUAAACAGUAUGUGAAAUUGUUGAAAGGGAAGCGCUUGCAACCAGACUUGCGUGUAGCGGCUCCCCCAGUCUUCUGGCUGGGCUAUUCCGUUAUAUCCAGGCCAGCAUCGGUUCGGGUGGUCGGUCAAAGGCCCCGGGAAUGUAUCUACCUUCGGGUCGACUUAUAGCCCGGGGUGUAAUGCGGCCUACCCGGACUGAGGAACGCGCUUCGGCUCGGAUGCUGGCGUAAUGGUUGUAAGCGGCCCGUCUUGAAACACGGACCAAGGAGUCUAACAUCUAUGCGAGUGUUAGGGUGUCAAACCCUUGCGCGUAAUGAAAGUGAACGGAGGUAAGAACCCUCACGGGCGCAUUAUCGACCGAUCCUGAUGUCUUCGGAUGGAUUUGAGUAAGAGCAUAGCUGUUGGGACCCGAAAGAUGGUGAACUAUGCCUGAAUAGGGUGAAGCCAGAGGAAACUCUGGUGGAGGCUCGCAGCGGUUCUGACGUGCAAAUCGAUCGUCAAAUUUGGGUAUAGGGGCGAAAGACUAAUCGAACCAUCUGGUAGCUGGUUCCUGUCGAAGUUUCCCUCAGGAUAGCAGUAACGUUUUCAGUUUUAUGAGGUAAAGCGAAUGAUUAGAGGCCUUGGGGU